This 393-nucleotide non-coding RNA is filed under the name Ligilactobacillus equi DPC 6820. RNAcentral's name for it is "Lactobacillus equi DPC 6820 Bacterial large subunit ribosomal RNA". It matches the Rfam family "Bacterial large subunit ribosomal RNA", at positions 1 to 388 of the family's 2925-position model. The record is from Rfam by way of RNAcentral. Lineage: Bacteria; Bacillati; Bacillota; Bacilli; Lactobacillales; Lactobacillaceae.
GGUUAAGUUAUUAAGGGCGCAUGGUGGAUGCCUUGGCACUAGGAGCCGAUGAAGGACGUGACUAACUGCGAUAUGCUUCGGGGAGCUGUAAGUAAGCUUUGAGCCGGAGAUUUCCGAAUGGGGAAACCCAGCGGGUUUAACCGCCCGUUACUUCCAGGUGAAUACAUAGUCUGGAUAGAGGUAGACGUGGGGAACUGAAACAUCUAAGUACCCACAGGAAGAGAAAGAAAAUUCGAUUCCCUGAGUAGCGGCGAGCGAAACGGGAAGAGCCCAAACCGAAAGGCUUGCCUUUCGGGGUUGUAGGACAGAACAUUGGAGUUACCAAGAAAUGAAGUAGCUGAAUUAGUUGGGAAACUAAGCCAAAGAAGGUGAGAGCCCUGUAAGUGAAACUUC